ACUUCAGUUGCUGGUACAUGUGUGCUGUUUGGUCUUCUGACUGUCAGUGAGCAAAGGGAUGUUCCCUAAAAACACCACAGUAGUGGACUGGAAAAUUGGAAGCUACGCUGCCCUUCUGUUGGGGUGUGGGCAGGAAGGUAAGGUGAGGCCCAGGGGCUUCCAACUGGAUGAGAGGGAAGGAUGGAGAUUUGGCAAGGGAAGGGUGAGGCACAGGAAGGGCCCCACUUGUGGCUUUUUGGGUUGAGGCCAGCUAGUCUGCCAGCCCACCUGCACCACAAAGAACUAGCUUUCCUUGCAGGCUUAAAAUGCAGGUUACCCAAGGAGCUGCAGCCACACUCACCUGUCAUGGCGCCUGCCUAAAAUGGCGGCACCCCAGCAGGCGGAAGGGCGUGGCCUGCCUCAGUUCCACAGGUGUCUGCUCACUGGAGACUGCAAAGAAAUGUCUGCCAAAAUGUAUGGAAACAUGGACCUGUUCCUUCUCUUCCUUCACUUUCAGUCAUCGGGUAGAGCAGAGAUUGAAAGAUAUCAGUCAGAAAUGCUUGGCUGUGCUUCUGAUAGAAGCAGAAGUCUGUCCGAACCAAAAUGCAGUGUGCCAUGAGGGGGACGGUUUACAUUUGAGGGGCCUUCUUCCCCAGGGAGGAGAGUGCUGUGAGCACCCCAGCGAGCGGCUGCGUGCAGGGAAUGGCGCUGUGCUGGGAAAAUGAGGCCUGCAAAUUUACAGUGGCGUUUCUUCCUUGUUGACAGGUAGUAAAAGCUAUCCCCAGAGUGCCUACUGCUCCUUAGAAGCAAACCAUCCCUUGCUAGAGCCCAGUUCUCAAAGCCUUUAUCAAAGCAGCAGUGUUUUGAGGCAUUGGGCUGUUUUUAUCUUGCCAUGUCUUUCCUCAGGCUAAACCAGACUCUGCAAUGACAAAAACUUAGUUUGCUCCUGAGAUGUCAGAACUUUCUGCUUCCUGCGACACAAAUCAUGGCUGCUUUUACAGCGAUAAGGAAAUUGAUUCUUCUGCCUGAUCAUUUUGAUCCUUUAUCAGCCUUCUCAGUCCUGAAGGGCUAUCAUGAAAGCUAAUUGGAUUUUCUCCCAGGUUGUUUAUUUGUGAA
Long non-coding RNA from Gallus gallus (chicken), 1095 nucleotides. The record is from Ensembl. Lineage: Eukaryota; Metazoa; Chordata; Aves; Galliformes; Phasianidae.